RNAcentral lists this long non-coding RNA (2469 nucleotides) under Oreochromis niloticus (Nile tilapia). RNAcentral describes it as "lncRNA (ENSONIG00000037647.1)". The record is from RNAcentral. Lineage: Eukaryota; Metazoa; Chordata; Actinopteri; Cichliformes; Cichlidae.
CAGCUGCCAAGACAUAGUCUGGCUGCGGUAUCACACUUGCUGUCUCAGGGUAAACCUCCUGAGUCACAGUCUGAAUAUGACGACUAUUUUCUGUCCAUAUUUCUCUCUUGAUACGACACAACUCUGGCACGAACUCAACACCAUUUUCUCCAGCGUGUUACGAGAGCCAGCAGAGAGUGAAUGGAUGUCUGGGUCGGAGGCAGCAGUUGGCGUACAUUCCUCAUUCCCCUGAAGCAGACUGUGUGGCGGGAUGUUAAGCUGUGAGGUGGGAUUGGAGGAGAUGGAGGGCAAGCAGAAGCAAGGGACCCUUGGAGAAAACGUGGCUCCAACUGAGAACAAACAAGGCGGCAAAGUCCCCGAGCCCACCACCCGACAACGGCCCCAACUGCUCGCUGCUGACUGGACGGUGCACGGCUCAAAGGGAUAUCGGGUUUCUGUUUGUGUCGCUUCCAUUGUGUCGGACACAGGAUGGUCGUGCAAUUGCUCAGGAACAAUACACAGCAGACCUGUAUGUUUAGAGCACACAGCCGAGUUGCAGUUGACUGAGGUCGUGAGCGAGCCUGUUCACAAAGAAAAAACAACAACAACAAAAACCCUACAGUGAAGUGCUGACUCUGGAGUGCCAGCUCAUCUAAUGCAAUCAUAAUGUUUUCUCUCCAAAGAACCCUGCUGUUGCUACACUUGUAAAACUCCCCUCAUUAUUGUUAGACUUGGUCUGGGCUUUGAGGUUUUCUAACUGGAAAUAGAUACGUUGCUGUCCUUUUGAAAACAGCUCCGCUGGAUUUAGGUUCAAAAUUCCCCGUCUGGUUCAGCAGAAUACACACAAUUGGUGGAUUCAGGUAUUGUUUUAUUAUGAAUUCAAUGAAAAUUUAAAUAUCAAGUGAAAAGAAGCUUUCUGGAAAUAUUAGCAAGCUGUGUGCCAUGUCAAGAGUGGAGUGUUUAUAUUGUUGCUGUCUGGCAUGUCAAUGCCAGACAGCAACAGCUUGAUAUGUAUUAAGGAAGUAAAAAAAGGGAAACUCACACAAUCCAGGUACUUGCACAAAUAUUAUCAUGCUCUAAUAAGCGUCCACAAACUAAAAGUGAUGGAGAAUAAUUUGUGCUGGAAUGGAAGUGGGAACUUUUCUCCACUGUAUGGAAAAGUUCAAGGAAUGAGUUAUGAAAGACUUGGGUGGGUGCUUUGGUUCUGCAAAGGCUUUGACUGCUCAUUUGUAAUUAUUAGAAUGACACAUGUCAAAUACUGAGAAUAUAUAUGAGCUGCCAUUGUUUUUAAUAAAUGACAGAAAAAAAAAAGGUUUAAAGUCCAGGAUUAUUAAGUUUGGACAAAUCCAGUGGCUGAGACAGCAUCCUAUACGUCUAUGCUCGGAUGAUUGAAAGGUCGUUCCAAGGUGCCUGAUUACAUUUGAAUUCCUUUAGUAUAUGGUUAUGUUUUUUAUUCUGCAUCAUACUCAGUGUGAUUCAGUGCUCUAGAAGAAGAAUUGCAAUAAUUGUGUUGCAGUUGUGUUUGUUGCUAAAUUCUAAACUAUUAAGAGAACUGCAGGUUCAGAUUCGACUGAUCAGUUGGAGGAUCAAUAUGCUUUAAUCCAGCCAUUUUCUCAUUGGUCGGACCAUCUUCAGUGUAACUUUGAUUUUUUUUUUUUUUUUUAAGUAAGAUAACCUCAUAUUUUUCCUUUGGUGAAGGAAGUGAAUCAAUAAUUAAGAUCCAACAAUCAUCUAUAUGACUCCAUGAUUCUGAAUAGUGGCUACUUAAAGACUUUAAUGCUAAAAUGUUUUGACUACAUAUAACUUAAGCUGGUUAUUAUUUUUACUUACCUUAAAGGUUAAAGUUUAAACUUUAUUUUUCUACACUCUAUUUAUUUCAUGUCACAUAUUCUUAAUUCUUAAUUAAGUCCCUUGAGAUAUUAUAAAGUGUUUAGUCUAUUAUUAACAGUUUGAUAUUGUCUGCUGUAAAUUAACUAUUGAGUAACCAGGUUAGAAUUAUUUCAAAUGAUGAAAACGCCACUGUUUUAUGUUUGUCUUUAUAAUUCUUGUAAGCUAUGAAAUCUAGCAAGUAGACAGCACUGGCUGAUUUGGUUAAUCUACAAGCAUGCAAGUUAUUGUGAUCAUUUAGGCCACAUCAUGUUAAGUAGCUUGGUGGUGUGGUUGUUAGUACCGUGACCUCACAGUAAUGCGGUCCAGAGUUCAAAUUAAGGCUUGGACCUCUCUGUGUGAAGCUUGCGAGUACUUCCUGUGUGAAUGGUUGUCUCUGUGCAAGCCUUGAAUUGUAUCUUUAGCAGUGGAUGCACUGAGCAAUGCUUUAUGGAAGGGAACACGUCAAAUUUUAUUCCACAGUUCAAAGCUGGAGAUCGUUCACAAAAAGAAAAAAUAAACAUUAAUCAUGAGUGAUGUAAAUGUUAAAAAGGAAUGAAUUCCAUUUCUUGUCCUUGCUGUCGUUGUUUUUAUAUCCUGCAUAAAAUAACUUAGAAGUAUUAG